Molecule: ribosomal RNA, 293 nt
Filed under: uncultured eukaryote
Lineage: Eukaryota
Description: partial 18S ribosomal RNA
Rfam family: Eukaryotic small subunit ribosomal RNA
Source: RNAcentral
GGUUGAUCCUGCCAGUAGUCAUAUGCUUGUCUCAAAGAUUAAGCCAUGCAUGUCUAAGUAUAAGCAAUUAUACAGUGAAACUGCGAAUGGCUCAUUAAAUCAGUUAUCGUUUAUUUGAUAGUACCUUACUACUUGGAUAUCCGUGGUAAUUCUAGAGCUAAUACAUGCUUAAAAUCCCGACCUCUGGAAGGGAUGUAUUUAUUAGAUAAAAAAUCAAUGUCUUCGGACUCUUUGAUGAUUCAUAAUAACUUUUCGAAUCGCAUGGCCUUGUGCUGGCGAUGGUUCAUUCAAAU